GACGAACGCUGGCGGCGUGCUUAACACAUGCAAGUCGAGCGGUAAGGCCCUUUCGGGGGUACACGAGCGGCGAACGGGUGAGUAACACGUGGGUGACCUGCCCUCAGCUCUGGGAUAAGCCUGGGAAACCGGGUCUAAUACCGGAUAUGACUCCAUGACGCAUGUUGUGGGGUGGAAAGCCUUGUGCGGCUGAGGAUGGGCCCGCGGCCUAUCAGCUUGUUGGUGGGGUGAUGGCCUACCAAGGCGACGACGGGUAGCCGGCCCGAGAGGGCGACCGGCCACACUGGGACUGAGACACGGCCCAGACUCCUACGGGAGGCAGCAGUGGGGAAUCUUGCGCAAUGGGCGAAAGCCUGACGCAGCGACGCCGCGUGAGGGAUGACGGCCU
Molecule: ribosomal RNA, 388 nt
Filed under: uncultured bacterium
Lineage: Bacteria
Description: bacterial SSU rRNA
Rfam family: Bacterial small subunit ribosomal RNA
Source: RNAcentral